GACGAACGCUGGCGGCGUGCUUAACACAUGCAAGUCGAACGGUAAGGCCCCUUCGGGGGUACCCGAGUGGCGAACGGGUGAGUAACACGUGAGCAACCUGCCCUUGACUCUGGAAUAACAGUUGGAAACAGCUGCUAAUACUGGAUAUUCAUCGUCUCCUUCCUGGGGGGUGGUGGAAAGCUCCGGCGGUCAGGGAUGGGCUCGCGGCCUAUCAGCUUGUUGGUGAGGUAAUGGCUCACCAAGGCUUCGACGGGUAGCCGGCCUGAGAGGGCGACCGGCCACACUGGGACUGAGAUACGGCCCAGACUCCUACGGGAGGCAGCAGUGGGGAAUAUUGCACAAUGGGCGCAAGCCUGAUGCAGCAACGCCGCGUGCGGGAUGACGGCCUUCGGGUUGUAAACCGCUUUCAGUAGGGACGAAGGGUGACUGACGGUACCUACAGAAGAAGGACCGGCUAACUACGUG
RNAcentral lists this ribosomal RNA (465 nucleotides) under uncultured bacterium. Its description in RNAcentral is "partial 16S ribosomal RNA". It matches the Rfam family "Bacterial small subunit ribosomal RNA", at positions 28 to 507 of the family's 1533-position model. The record is from RNAcentral.